Molecule: ribosomal RNA, 432 nt
Filed under: uncultured bacterium
Lineage: Bacteria
Description: partial 16S ribosomal RNA
Rfam family: Bacterial small subunit ribosomal RNA
Source: RNAcentral
GCGAACGCUGGCGGCAGGCCUAACACAUGCAAGUCGAACGAACUCUUCGGAGUUAGUGGCGGCCGGGUGAGUAACACGUGGGAACGUGCCUUUUGGUUCGGAAUAACUCAGGGAAACUUGUGCUAAUACCGAAUGUGCCCUUCGGGGGAAAGAUUUAUCGCCAUUAGAGCGGCCCGCGUCUGAUUAGCUAGUUGGUGAGGUAACGGCUCACCAAGGCGACGAUCAGUAGCUGGUCUGAGAGGAUGACCAGCCACACUGGGACUGAGACACGGCCCAGACUCCUACGGGAGGCAGCAGUGGGGAAUCUUGCGCAAUGGGCGAAAGCCUGACGCAGCCAUGCCGCGUGAAUGAUGAAGGUCUUAGGAUUGUAAAAUUCUUUCACCGGGGACGAUAAUGACGGUACCCGGAGAAGAAGCCCCGGCUAACUUCGUG